AGUACGGCCGCAAGGUUAAAACUCAAAUGAAUUGACGGGGGCCCGCACAAGCGGUGGAGCAUGUGGUUUAAUUCGAUGCAACGCGAAGAACCUUACCUACUCUUGACAUCCAGCGAAUCCUUUAGAGAUAGAGGAGUGCCUUCGGGAACGCUGAGACAGGUGCUGCAUGGCUGUCGUCAGCUCGUGUUGUGAAAUGUUGGGUUAAGUCCCGCAACGAGCGCAACCCUUAUCCUUUGUUGCCAGCGCGUAAUGGCGGGAACUCAAAGGAGACUGCCGGUGAUAAACCGGAGGAAGGUGGGGAUGACGUCAAGUCAUCAUGGCCCUUACGAGUAGGGCUACACACGUGCUACAAUGGCAGAUACAAAGAGAAGCGACCUCGCGAGAGCAAGCGGAACUCAUAAAGUCUGUCGUAGUCCGGAUUGGAGUCUGCAACUCGACUCCAUGAAGUCGGAAUCGCUAGUAAUCGUAGAUCAGAAUGCUACGGUGAAUACGUUCCCGGGCCUUGUACAC
This 510-nucleotide ribosomal RNA is filed under the name Proteus vulgaris. RNAcentral describes it as "bacterial SSU rRNA". It matches the Rfam family "Bacterial small subunit ribosomal RNA", at positions 879 to 1388 of the family's 1533-position model. The record is from RNAcentral. Lineage: Bacteria; Pseudomonadati; Pseudomonadota; Gammaproteobacteria; Enterobacterales; Morganellaceae.